RNAcentral lists this ribosomal RNA (305 nucleotides) under uncultured bacterium. RNAcentral's name for it is "partial 16S ribosomal RNA". It matches the Rfam family "Bacterial small subunit ribosomal RNA", at positions 505 to 807 of the family's 1533-position model. The record is from RNAcentral.
ACAGCAGUAGCCACGGUAAUACGUAGGGUGCAAGCGUUAAUCGGAAUUACUGGGCGUAAAGCGUGCGCAGGCGGUUUGUUAAGACAGAUGUGAAAUCCCCGGGCUCAACCUGGGAACUGCAUUUGUGACUGGCAAGCUAGAGUGUGGCAGAGGGGGGUGGAAUUCCGCGUGUAGCAGUGAAAUGCGUAGAUAUGCGGAGGAACACCGAUGGCGAAGGCAGCCCCCUGGGCCAACACUGACGCUCAUGCACGAAAGCGUGGGGAGCAAACAGGAUUAGAUACCCCUGUAGUCCCUGUCUCUUAUAC